GACCAUUUUUCCCAUGAGAAGGAAGCCAACGACCUAGAGGCAAACAGGUGAGAGAUAUAGAGAGAGACUGAGCCCACUGGCAUGGUUAUAGCCCCAGAAUUGAGCUGUGCCUGAAGGUAACUUUAAUGGUGGACUUUUCAGUUACAAUACAGUCCCUUUUUGGUUUAAUGCCAGUUCGAUGUGGGAUUAAGUGAUUUGUAACCCAAAGUGUUCUAAUGAAUGUCAUCAUGCCUCCUUCUCCCUCCUGUUUGUGUACCUCGGUCAUUCCAGGAAGCCGCCAGUAGGAAAACUUCACCAAGGAAAAGAGAAUUUUUUUCAGCCUUCCUGCAUUGUCUCAAAAGAGCCUGUUUUAAAGUCCCAGUGGAGAUGCGUGUAAUUGGCCAAUGAGAGCCAGCAGCCGGGUUGGGGAUGCGUGCCAAUAAAUAACUCAAGCACAGUAACCUGAAUUUUAUGGAUGAAGAAAUGGAGACCCAUUUCCUUAUGGAUGAAGAAAUGAAGAGAAGUUAAGCAACUUUCCAGAGGCCCCCCGGCGGUGAAUGCCGCUCUGCUGCAGGAUGCCAGCACAAGGGGAUGGGCCUGUCUUUGCCUUUGGGGAGAAUCGUUUCUGCGAAUUAUUUGGAGAAAGAUCCGAGUUUGCAGAGAAGCUGGCAGCUCAUCUGAGCAGAAAAGUAGAAGUCAAAGUGAUUUCUUGGAGGAGACUCAUGGGGGGCCUCCCGGGUCACCAAACAGCCAUCUCUCUCACCUGGAAGAAAUAGGAAUUGAUUUGAAGCUUGUCCCAUCUGAAAAGGUCUGUCGGGAGCCAGAACCAGCGCGUGUUGUCAAGGACGCUUUUGGUCUUCGGUCCGGAGAAGAAGUGAUUCAUGAUGAUUUGCUUUUCCAGGGAGUCAGGGAGACCCAGUGGAGAUGCAGGCUCGGGUCCCAGGGGCCUGCUGGGUUAGAUUGUUUCCCUGAGUGGGAGGAAGGGAGGAAAAUCAAGGAGCCAGUAGGAGCUGAUGAAUGAG
This 1001-nucleotide long non-coding RNA is filed under the name Piliocolobus tephrosceles (Ugandan red Colobus). RNAcentral describes it as "lncRNA (ENSPTEG00000003242.1)". The record is from RNAcentral. Lineage: Eukaryota; Metazoa; Chordata; Mammalia; Primates; Cercopithecidae.